GACGAACGCUGGCGGCGUGCUUAACACAUGCAAGUCGAGCGGAAAGGCCCUUCGGGGUACUCGAGCGGCGAACGGGUGAGUAACACGUGAGUAACCUGCCCCUGACUCUGGGAUAAGCCCGGGAAACUGGGUCUAAUACCGGAUACGACACCUCCUGGCAUCGGGUGGGUGUGGAAAGUUUUUUCGGUUGGGGAUGGACUCGCGGCCUAUCAGCUUGUUGGUGGGGUAAUGGCCUACCAAGGCGACGACGGGUAGCCGGCCUGAGAGGGCGACCGGCCACACUGGGACUGAGACACGGCCCAGACUCCUACGGGAGGCAGCAGUGGGGAAUAUUGCGCAAUGGGCGAAAGCCUGACGCAGCGACGCCGCGUGGGGGAUGACGGCCUUCGGGUUGUAAACCUCUUUCAGCAGGGACGAAAGUGACGUGUACCUGCAGAAGAAGCGCCGGCUAACUACGUGCCAGCAGCCGCGGUAAAAC
Molecule: ribosomal RNA, 478 nt
Filed under: uncultured bacterium
Lineage: Bacteria
Description: bacterial SSU rRNA
Rfam family: Bacterial small subunit ribosomal RNA
Source: RNAcentral